RNAcentral lists this ribosomal RNA (23 nucleotides) under uncultured actinomycete. RNAcentral's name for it is "partial 16S ribosomal RNA". The record is from RNAcentral. Lineage: Bacteria; Bacillati; Actinomycetota; Actinomycetes; Actinomycetales.
CUCGACCUGUUUGCAGGCGUUCC